Molecule: ribosomal RNA, 816 nt
Filed under: Tuber gibbosum
Lineage: Eukaryota; Fungi; Ascomycota; Pezizomycetes; Pezizales; Tuberaceae
Description: eukaryotic LSU rRNA
Rfam family: Eukaryotic large subunit ribosomal RNA
Source: RNAcentral
AACGGCGAGUGAAGCGGCAAAAGCUCAAAUUUGAAAUCUGGCGCCUGCAGGUGUCCGAGUUGUACUUUGGAGAGGCAUCUUCGUGAGGAGUCCAGCCUAUGUUCCUUGGAACAGGGCGUCACAGAGGGUGAGAAUCCCGUUCGUGGCUGGAUACUCCUUGCAGUAUGUAGUGUCUUCAAUGAGUCGAGUUGUUUGGGAAUGCAGCUCAAAAUGGGUGGUAAAUUUCAUCUAAAGCUAAAUAUUGGCGAGAGACCGAUAGCGCACAAGUAGAGUGAUCGAAAGAUGAAAAGCACUUUGAAAAUAGAGUCAAACAGUACGUGAAAUUGUUGAAAGGGAAGCGCUUGAGAUCAGAGUCAGCCUUUGACAAACAACAUUCCUUAUGGAUAGUGCACUUGUUAUUGGCUGGGCCAGCAUCAGUUGGGACGGUAGGAUAAAGGCCUUGGGAAUGUGACUCCCUUCCGGAGUGUUAUAGCCCUUGGUGCCAUACUGCCUGCCCUGACUGUGGACCGCGCUUCGGCUUGGAUGCUGGCUUAAUGGUCUUCAGCGGCCCGUCUUGAAACACGGACCAAGGAGUCUAACGUCUAUGCAAGUGUUUGGGCUCAAAACCCUCACGCGUAAUGAAAGUGAACGGAGGUGGGAACCCUGCAAGGGGUGCACCAUCGACCGAUCCUGAUGUCUUCGGAUGGAUUUGAGUAGGAGCAUAGCUGUUGGGACCCGAAAGAUGGUGAACUAUGCCUGAAUAGGGUGAAGCCAGAGGAAACUCUGGUGGAGGCUCGCAGCGGUUCUGACGUGCAAAUCGAUCGUCAAAUUUGGGUA